GACGAACGCUGGCGGCGUGCUUAACACAUGCAAGUCGAACGGAAAGGCCCUGCUUGCCGGGUACUCGCGUGGCGAACGGGUGAGUAACACGUGGGUGAUCUGUCCUGUACUUCGGGGUAUGCCUGGGAGACUGGGUCUAAAAUCGCAUAGGAGCCCUCUUUCGUCAGGGGGUUGGAAAGUUUUUUGGGUCUAGGAUGGGCUCGCGGGCUAUCAACUUGUUGGUGGGGUGAUGGGCUGCCAAGGAGGCGGCGGGUAGCCGGCCUGGGGGGGGGGACGGCCACCUUGGGACUUGGAUACGGCCCCGACGCCUACGGGGGGCAGCAGUGGGGGAAAAUGCCCAAUGGGGGGAAGGCCUAUGGAGCGACGCCGGGGGGCGGAAUACGGGCCUCGGGGUGUAAACCCCCUUCGCUAGGGACCAAGCUUUUUGUGACGGUACCUAGUUAAGAAGCACCGGCUAACUACGUG
RNAcentral lists this ribosomal RNA (465 nucleotides) under uncultured bacterium. RNAcentral's name for it is "partial 16S ribosomal RNA". It matches the Rfam family "Bacterial small subunit ribosomal RNA", at positions 28 to 507 of the family's 1533-position model. The record is from RNAcentral.